This is a non-coding RNA of Kogia breviceps (pygmy sperm whale), 1470 nucleotides long. Lineage: Eukaryota; Metazoa; Chordata; Mammalia; Artiodactyla; Physeteridae. The record is from RefSeq and is a predicted model, not a curated record.
CGUCCUCGGCCGCCCCCGUCGCUCUCGCCACAGGCCUCCUGACACCCGCGCCGUCUCCGCGCAGCCGGACUGCAGGUCCAGGGCCCCGGCCCUCAACUUCAGCUCUCUGCCGGGGGUCACAGUACACGGUAUUUGCCACCGUUUCUACCCCUCCACCACGGUGAAACACUGCUGGCCUGGCAGAAUGGCUUUGCCCUCUGGGGUCCUGGCAAACAACAUUCUAUAUCUGUUCCUAUGAAUUUGACUACUCUUACUACGUCAUGAUCUCUCUGCUUGUGCACUCAAAAUGACAGAAUAUGGCCACCUUACCCUUCCCAAUUGACAGUCACAGUUCUAGCUAUAUGCAGAGAUUGAAUAGUUGUUUCUAAGUUCCAAGUUCCUAGGAGAGCAUAUGAUUGACCCUGCUUGGCUCAGGUAUCAAAUCAUCCUUGGCCAAGUUGGCUGGUGGUUUACCCAGUGCACACUGCUCCAUGAAGGCAAUUACUGUAGGAGGGGAGAUGGAUCUUGGAUCUGAAAUAUAGUCUUAGAAUUUCUACUUUUUACAAUUUGGUAGAGCUGGUGCUUAGAACCUCAGAAGUCACAAAUCAAAUGCAUCCCAAGGGCAGUUAAAUAACAUAAAUGAAUAAAGCUGACAGAUGGAGGCUGCAGUACCCAGAUGGACCACAGGCUCAAUCUAAAGGGAGCUGCUACUACUCAACUCCAACUCCAUGAGAGUCUGGGCCUGGGCAACCAAUCUUCUGAUUUUCAAAUAAACUCAGAAAUUGGGAUUUUAUGUAAAAUCUCUGUUAAAAUUUUUUAAAAAUCCCAAUGAGUGAGAAAAGAAAAAAAAAGCCAUGACUGCAAGUCAUAUCUGAACUAUCAACUUGUAGUUUAGUACUUCUGACCUAGAUCUGUCUGGUCAAUUGUCAAAUAAUGACAUUUAAAAACUCACAUCCAAGGCAGCUUCAAGAUGGCGGAGGAGUGAGACGUGGAGAUUGCCUCCCCACAAAUACAUCAGAAAUACAUCUACCUGUGGAGCAACUCCUACAAAACACCUACUGAAUGCUGGUAGAAGACCUCAGACUUCCCAAAAGCUUAAUGUGACCUUGUGAUUAAAUUCUGGUCAAUGAGAUGGAAAAGCUGUUGGAAUGAGGAUGUGAGGGCUGAAGUUUUAGCUGCUGUCUUGGACCUGAGGCAACCUUGAUGAGAAAAGCCACAAAUGUGGAGAGUGGAAAAGAAAGACAGAGGGGAAUCUCUCUCUCUCAUAUCAGACCUGGGCAUGCCUACCUUCAGACUUCCUUUACAUGUAAGAAAAACAUCUUCCGGGACUUCCAUGGUAGCACAGUGGAUAAGAUUCCGUGCUCCCAAUGCAGGGGGCCUGGGUUCAAUCCCUGGUGAGGGAACUAGAUCCCACAUUCAUGUCACAACUAAGAGUUCACAUGCCACAACUAAGGAGCCCGUGUGCUGCAACUAAGGAGGCUGUGAGCUGCA